Molecule: transfer RNA, 75 nt
Filed under: Pseudomonadota bacterium
Lineage: Bacteria; Pseudomonadati; Pseudomonadota
Also listed under: 1 other name
Description: tRNA-Pro
Rfam family: tRNA
About the family: Transfer RNA (tRNA) molecules are approximately 80 nucleotides in length. Their secondary structure includes four short double-helical elements and three loops (D, anti-codon, and T loops). Further hydrogen bonds mediate the characteristic L-shaped molecular structure. tRNAs have two regions of fundamental functional importance: the anti-codon, which is responsible for specific mRNA codon recognition, and the 3' end, to which the tRNAs corresponding amino acid is attached (by aminoacyl-tRNA synthetases). tRNAs cope with the degeneracy of the genetic code in two manners: having more than one tRNA (with a specific anti-codon) for a particular amino acid; and 'wobble' base-pairing, i.e. permitting non-standard base-pairing at the 3rd anti-codon position.
Source: RNAcentral
CGGGGAGUAGCGCAGCCCGGAUAGCGCACCGCGCUUGGGACGCGGGGGUCGCUGGUUCAAAUCCAGUCUCCCCGA